UCGAGGGGCAGCAUGGGAGUAGUAAUACUUCUGAUGGCGACCGGCGCACGGGUGCGUAACGCGUAUGCAACCUACCUGUAACAGGGGGAUAACACUGAGAAAUCGGUACUAAUACCGCAUAACACUAUGAGAGGCAUCUCUUGUGGUUGAAAGUUUCGGCGGUUACAGAUGGGCAUGCGUUGUAUUAGCUGGUUGGUAAGGUAACGGCUUACCAAGGCGACGAUACAUAGGGGGACUGAGAGGUUAACCCCCCACAUUGGUACUGAGACACGGACCAAACUCCCACGGGAGGCAGCAGUGAGGAAUAUUGGUCAAUGGACGGAAGUCUGAACCAGCCAUGCCGCGUGCAGGAAGACGGCUCUAUGAGUUGUAAACUGCUUUUGUACAAGGGUAAACCUGAAUACGUGUAUUCAGCUGAAAGUACUGUACGAAUAAGGAUCGGCUAACUCCGUGCCAGCAGCCGCGGUAAUACGGAGGAUCCAAGCGUUAUCCGGAUUUAUUGGGUUUAAAGGGUGCGUAGGCGGAUUGAUAAGUUAGAGGUGAAAUGUCCGAGCUUAACUCGGGAACUGCCCCUAAUACUGUUGAUCUAGAGAGUAGAUGCGGUAGGCGGAAUGUAUGGUGUAGCGGUGAAAUGCUUAGAGAUCAUACAGAACACCGAUUGCGAAGGCAGCUUACCAAUCUAUAUCUGACGUUGAGGCACGAAAGCGUGGGGAGCAAACAGGAUUAGAUACCCUGGUAGUCCACGCAGUAAACGAUGAUAGCUCGUUGUCGGCGAUACACAGUCGG
RNAcentral lists this ribosomal RNA (786 nucleotides) under uncultured bacterium. Its description in RNAcentral is "bacterial SSU rRNA". It matches the Rfam family "Bacterial small subunit ribosomal RNA", at positions 62 to 840 of the family's 1533-position model. The record is from RNAcentral.